Molecule: long non-coding RNA, 1269 nt
Filed under: Anser brachyrhynchus (Pink-footed goose)
Lineage: Eukaryota; Metazoa; Chordata; Aves; Anseriformes; Anatidae
Description: lncRNA (ENSABRG00000011450.1)
Source: RNAcentral
AUGGGAAUGCCUGGUCUGGGAGCUGGAGCAUAUCCCACUUUGUCUGCAGCCAUUGGAAGCCACCAUGCACUGCUGCAGAGCAGGGAGACUCCUCCAGCAGUGCCAAGCUUUUGUAGGCAGUUUUGCAAUGUACACCACGAUCAUUGGUAUGCUGUGCAUACCCCCAAUGAGCCCAAAAUGCAGACAAGGCAGCCCGCAGCAGCAGGGGCUGUUCAACUCUGCUGUGGGGGCCAAGUGGUGGCUGCAGCCCAUACGUAUGCAUCCUCCACUUGCUGCUUUCAUAGAUCCAAAAUGAAUCAAACAGCAGUGAUCUUGAUAGAGAUACAAGUCUGCAGCUGUAAUUUACAAGUUCAUUAACAGUGUCCCUGCAAAGAUCUUUUUUUUUUUUUAAAUUGGAGCCCUAAUUAGCAAUGAAUUCUCAUUAUUUUUCCUUGAAAUACCAAAGCAGCUUUGGCACAUUCUCUUUGUUCUUUUGAAAACUGAGAAGUGGAGAAGCUUAGGAGAGAUAAAGAAGCAGCAGAUUAUAAACUGGGGUGUGUGGGGGGUGUUCCCCUCAAGCUAUUCCUUCAUUUUAAUACCUUUUGCAGCAAUUUUGCUUAAUAUUUAUUACGUGACAAAGUAAGUAUUUCCAUAAAGAAACAUUAACUUCAUCAUGGUUGAAUGCCACUAUCUGUCUGUCCCAGAGCGAUGUGCCACUUGAGUACCGCACACCUUGGAAGGAGCCCAGGUUCCUUUCUCGCUUGGGCAAAGACUCCAUUGCUUCAAGAGGAAUUUCGCAAGGGCACAAAUCCAAACAGCAGCCACGAGAAAAGCUCACAGUCAGCCCAAGAAGGAGGAAGCAGCCCCCAAAUGGCAGUGUGGUGGCUCUCCAUGAGGCAACAUUAAUCAGAGAGGCUUGCCAAGCCCUUCAUUAGCACGAACAUGCCGGGCCUGGUGGGAGCAUCUGGCACCUAGAACUGCUCUGGGCCCCUGGAUGCUGCUGGGUAUCGCAGAAGGACUGGGGGCCACACAGGCAGCACCCACCCCACCUACCACAGUGCUCUGGGAGCAGCAAUGGCCUGGUGGCACCUGUGGCACCACUGUGCUGGAGGGGUGCAGCCAUUCAACUGCACCAGCACCCAAAGCGGAAGUGCUGUAGGAAAUGCUUUGUGCUCUUGGUAGAUUUUGAGGAUUUUUUUUUUUUCCAGAGGGAAGUAUAGUCAUCACACAUUGUUUCCACAGUCCUUCUACAAUUUUGAUAAUAAAGGACCUCCUGUGACAUUAAGUACA